Molecule: ribosomal RNA, 422 nt
Filed under: uncultured Lachnospiraceae bacterium
Lineage: Bacteria; Bacillati; Bacillota; Clostridia; Lachnospirales; Lachnospiraceae
Description: bacterial SSU rRNA
Rfam family: Bacterial small subunit ribosomal RNA
Source: RNAcentral
UGGGGAAUAUUGCACAAUGGGCGAAAGCCUGAUGCAGCAACGCCGCGUGAAGGAUGAAGUAUUUCGGUAUGUAAACUUCUAUCAGCAGGGAAGAUAAUGACGGUACCUGACUAAGAAGCCCCGGCUAACUACGUGCCAGCAGCCGCGGUAAUACGUAGGGGGCAAGCGUUAUCCGGAUUUACUGGGUGUAAAGGGAGCGUAGGCGGCUUUGCAAGUCAGAAGUGAAAGCCCGGGGCUCAACUCCGGGACUGCUUUUGAAACUGCAGGGCUAGAUUUCAGGAGAGGUAAGCGGAAUUCCUAGUGUAGCGGUGAAAUGCGUAGAUAUUAGGAGGAACACCAGUGGCGAAGGCGGCUUACUGGACUGAUAAUGACGCUGAGGCUCGAAAGCGUGGGGAGCAAACAGGAUUAGAUACCCUGGUAGU